RNAcentral lists this ribosomal RNA (298 nucleotides) under uncultured microorganism. Its description in RNAcentral is "partial 16S ribosomal RNA". It matches the Rfam family "Bacterial small subunit ribosomal RNA", at positions 9 to 301 of the family's 1533-position model. The record is from RNAcentral.
GAGUUUGAUCGUGGCUCAGAUUGAACGCUGGCGGCAUGCCUUACACAUGCAAGUCGAACGGCAGCAUGAUCUAGCUUGCUAGAUUGAUGGCGAGUGGCGAACGGGUGAGUAAUACAUCGGAACGUGGCCCUGUAGUGGGGGAUAACUAGUCGAAAGAUUAGCUAAUACCGCAUACGACCUGAGGGUGAAAGUGGGGGACCGCAAGGCCUCAUGCUAUAGGAGCGGCCGAUGUCUGAUUAGGCUAGUUGGUGGGGUAAAGGCCCACCAAGGCGACGAUCAGUAGCUGGUCUGAGAGGAC